Molecule: ribosomal RNA, 519 nt
Filed under: uncultured bacterium
Lineage: Bacteria
Description: bacterial SSU rRNA
Rfam family: Bacterial small subunit ribosomal RNA
Source: RNAcentral
UAGUCCACGCUGUAAACGAUGGGUACUAGAUGUUGCGGGUAUUGACCCCUGCAGUGUCGUAGCUAACGCAUUAAGUACCCCGCCUGGGAAGUACGGUCGCAAGAUUAAAACUCAAAGGAAUUGACGGGGGCCCGCACAAGCGGUGGAGCAUGUGGUUUAAUUCGAUGCAACGCGAAAAACCUUACCUGGGUUUGAAAUCCCCGGACCGCCCUAGAGAUAGGGUUUUCUCUUCGGAGACUGGGUGACAGGUGCUGCAUGGCUGUCGUCAGCUCGUAUCGUGAGAUGUCGGGUUAAGUCCCUUAACGAGCGCAACCCUUAUCCUUAGUUGCCAUCAUUUAGUUGGGCACUCUAAGGAGACUGCCUGUGUUAAGCAGGAGGAAGGUGGGGAUGACGUCAAGUCCUCAUGGCCCUUAUGUCCAGGGCUACACACGUGCUACAAUGGCCGGUACAGAGGGAUGCCAACCCGCAAGGGGGAGCUAAUCUCAGAAAGCCGGUCUCAGUUCGGAUUGAAGUCUGCAA